GUAGGGACCAAGCGUUGUCCGGAAUUAUUGGGCGUAAAGAGCUCGUAGGCGGUUCGGUAAGUCGGGUGUGAAAAUCCAGGGCUCAACCCUGGGACGCCACCCGAUACUGCUGUGACUAGAGUCCGGUAGAGGAGCGUGGAAUUUCUGGUGUAGCGGUGAAAUGCGCAGAUAUCAGAAGGAACACCAGCGGCGAAGGCGGCGCUCUGGGCCGGUACUGACGCUGAGGAGCGAAAGCGUGGGGAGCAAACAGGGAUUAGAUACCCUGGUAGUCCACGCCGUAAACGUUGGGCACUAGGUAUGGGGUCUUAUCAACGGAUUCCGUGCCCGUAGCUAACGCAUUAAGUGCCCCGCCUGGGGGAGUACGGCCGCAAGGCUA
RNAcentral lists this ribosomal RNA (376 nucleotides) under uncultured organism. Its description in RNAcentral is "partial 16S ribosomal RNA". It matches the Rfam family "Bacterial small subunit ribosomal RNA", at positions 527 to 896 of the family's 1533-position model. The record is from RNAcentral.